CAGCGACUCCUCCGUCACUGUC
RNAcentral lists this small nuclear RNA (22 nucleotides) under Arabidopsis thaliana (thale cress). RNAcentral describes it as "snRNA_12827". The record is from RNAcentral. Lineage: Eukaryota; Viridiplantae; Streptophyta; Magnoliopsida; Brassicales; Brassicaceae.